This 407-nucleotide ribosomal RNA is filed under the name uncultured bacterium. RNAcentral describes it as "partial 16S ribosomal RNA". It matches the Rfam family "Bacterial small subunit ribosomal RNA", at positions 28 to 526 of the family's 1533-position model. The record is from RNAcentral.
GAUGAACGCUAGCUAUAGGCUUAACACAUGCAAGUCGAGGGAGCGGCGCACGGGUGAGUCACGCGUAUCACACCUGCCCAUAACUAAGGGAUAACCCAGCGAAAGUUGGACUAAUACCUUAUGGUUAUGGAUGGGUAUGCGUCUGAUUAGCUUGUUGGCGGGGUAACGCCCCACCAAGGCAACGAUCAGUAGGGGUUCGGAGAGGAAGGCCCCUCACAUUGGAACUGUGACACUGGCCAAAGUCCGACGGGAGGCAUCAGUGAGGAAAAUUUGUCAAGGGACGCAAGUCUGAACCAGCCAAGUAGCGGGCUGGAUGACGGCCUAGGGGUUUUAAACUGCUUUUAUAUGGGGAUAGGUACCAUAUGAAUAAGGACCGGCUAAUUCCGGGCCAGCAGCAGCGGUAAUUC